Molecule: small nuclear RNA, 97 nt
Filed under: Ochotona princeps (American pika)
Lineage: Eukaryota; Metazoa; Chordata; Mammalia; Lagomorpha; Ochotonidae
Source: RNAcentral
GUGCUCACUUCCGCAGCACAUAUGCUAAAAUUGAAGCAAUGAAGAAAAGAUUAGCAUGGCUUCUUCCAUGUUAAAUAAUGAAGCAUUCCAUACAUUU